This 650-nucleotide ribosomal RNA is filed under the name uncultured organism. Its description in RNAcentral is "bacterial SSU rRNA". It matches the Rfam family "Bacterial small subunit ribosomal RNA", at positions 85 to 749 of the family's 1533-position model. The record is from RNAcentral.
UGGGUGGAGAGUGGCGCACGGGUGCGUAACACGUAGCUCACCUGCCCUCAAGACGGGAAUAACGGUUGGAAACAACCGCUAAUACCCGAUAAGCUCCCGCGCUGUAGAGGCGUGCGAGAAAAGGUUACGGCGCUUGAGGAUGGGGCUGCGGUCCAUCAGCUAGAUGGUGAGGUAACAGCUCACCAUGGCAACGACGGAUAGGGGACCUGAGAGGGUGACCCCCCACACUGGCACUGAGACACGGGCCAGACUCCUACGGGAGGCAGCAGUGAGGAAUAUUGCACAAUGGGCGCAAGCCCUGACGGAGCGACGCCGCGUGGGCGAUGAAGGUCUUCGGAUCGUAAAGCCCUUUUCUGCGUGACGAGAACGGACGGUAGCGCAGGAAUAAGUCUCGGCUAACUACGUGCCAGCAGCCGCGGUAAAACGUAGGAGGCGAGCGUUAUCCGGAGUUACUGGGCGUAAAGCGCGUGUAGGCGGCACAGAGGGUCUGAUGUGAAAGCUCCCAGGCUAAACCGGGAGAGGUCAUUGGAAACCGCUGUGCUAGAGGGUGAUAGAGGGGCGUGGAAUUCCGGGUGUAGUGGUGAAAUGCGUAAGAGAUCCGGAGGAACACCAGUGGCGAAAGGCGGCCCCUGGGUCACACCUGACGCUGA